This 397-nucleotide ribosomal RNA is filed under the name uncultured bacterium. RNAcentral's name for it is "partial 16S ribosomal RNA". It matches the Rfam family "Bacterial small subunit ribosomal RNA", at positions 523 to 918 of the family's 1533-position model. The record is from RNAcentral.
AUACGUAGGUGACAAGCGUUAUCCGGAUUUACUGGGCGUAAAGGGCGUGUGGGCGGUCUUGCAAGUCAGAAGUGAAAUUCCUGAGCUCAACUCGGGAGCUGCUUCUGAAACUGCAGGGCUUGAGUGCUGGAGGGGAUAGCGGAAUUCCUAGUGGAGCGGUAAAAUGCGCAGUUAUUAGGAAGAAAACCGGUGGCGAAGGCGGCUAUCUGGACAGUAACUGACGCUGAGGCGCGAAAGCGUGGGGAGCAAACAGGAUUAGAUACCCUGGUAGACCACGCCGUAAACGAUGAAUACUAGGUGUAGGGGGUAUCGACUCCCUCUGUGCCGCAGUUAACACAAUAAGUAUUCCGCCUGGGGAGUACGGCCGCAAGGUUGAAACUCAAAUGAAUUGGCGGGG